Doryrhamphus excisus (bluestripe pipefish) is the source of this 889-nucleotide non-coding RNA. The record is from RefSeq and is a predicted model, not a curated record. NCBI's taxonomy places the organism in Eukaryota, Metazoa, Chordata, Actinopteri, Syngnathiformes, Syngnathidae.
CCUUACGUCACAUCCGGGUAAUCCGAUAGUGAACAUUGAACGGCACGAGGUGGCAGCUACGAACAUUCGGGUUACGAAUCUGAAGCCAUCUAACCUACAAUAUGUGUUUCCAUUACCUCGUUUACGUCUUUAUAAGUAUUUACUAAGAUUUGUGUCAAGCGACGCAUGUCAACAUGAAUAGGACUUCCAAGGAGAAGCAAAUGGCUGCCAUGUUCAGGCCCCCUGACUGACAGUGUGGGACUGAAGAAAUGAGGACUUGCAAGGAGAAGCAAAGGGUUGCCAUGUUCAGGCCUCCUGACUGACACUGUGGGACUGAAGAAAUGAGUGUCUGCUAGAGAAAUGUGAGGCUGUUUGAGAGGCCCUGCUUGUGACUCUUCAUUGCGGGGUUUUAGGUUUGACAUGAGGUAAAGCAAAGGCCUGGUCCAGUCCUUCAGCUGACCUGUGGUACUCGUGGAACAAAGAGAAUCAGGCCUAUUCAACUCCCUGAACCAAAUUCAAAAUGGUGGCUGCAAAUUCUCAUACCCAGACCAUACAAAGGUGGUUGGUGUGUGACAUCUCCUUGGGGUAGUCUUGAUGGCUCGACCUGAGGGAAUCUACAGAGCAGGUCUCCUUGGGUGUGGACUUGAGUCACAAUUUUCAGGGACUGUUGACUCAACUUGACUCAAUACCAUCAAAGACUUGCAACUCGACUGACAUCAGUGACUCAGGACUUGACACUCAACAGGAAAAUUUCAAGCCUAUGACUUAAGACUUGACUCGACAUGCCCUGACUUGAGACUUGAACAUCUUUACUUAAAGCUGACAAUCAUCCCCUGAUCAGCUCUUCCUUGAAUGUCCAAUGUUUGUCAGUAAAAAAAAAAAAGUAAUAAAGUUGAUUUAAUACAUUGAA